RNAcentral lists this unclassified non-coding RNA (102 nucleotides) under Trypanosomatidae sp. PNG120. RNAcentral's name for it is "trans-spliced leader SL". The record is from RNAcentral. Lineage: Eukaryota; Euglenozoa; Kinetoplastea; Trypanosomatida; Trypanosomatidae.
AACUAACGAUUUUUUGUUACAGUUCUGUACUAUAUUGGUAUGAGAAACUUCCAGAACUUUCAUAGUUCCAGGGAAAUUUUGGAACAAUAGCCUUCGGGCUGU